Molecule: ribosomal RNA, 255 nt
Filed under: Cognatundibacterium rugosum
Lineage: Bacteria; Pseudomonadati; Pseudomonadota; Betaproteobacteria; Burkholderiales; Oxalobacteraceae
Description: Undibacterium rugosum Bacterial small subunit ribosomal RNA
Rfam family: Bacterial small subunit ribosomal RNA
Source: Rfam by way of RNAcentral
UUAAAACUCAAAGGAAUUGACGGGGACCCGCACAAGCGGUGGAUGAUGUGGAUUAAUUCGAUGCAACGCGAAAAACCUUACCUACCCUUGACAUGGCAGGAAUUCCGAAGAGAUUUGGAAGUGCUCGAAAGAGAACCUGCACACAGGUGCUGCAUGGCUGUCGUCAGCUCGUGUCGUGAGAUGUUGGGUUAAGUCCCGCAACGAGCGCAACCCUUGUCAUUAGUUGCUACGAAAGGGCACUCUAAUGAGACUGCC